AGAGUUUGAUCCUGGCUCAGAACGAACGCUGGCGGCGUGCUUAACACAUGCAAGUCGAGUGCGCGUACUGUAGCAAUACGGUAUGGCGCACGGCGCACGGGUGCGUAACACGUGGGCAAUCUGCCCUUCGAUGGGGAAUAUCUUCGGGAAACCGAAGCGAAUUCCGCAUAACAUUCCUUGGACUUCGGUUCGAGGACUCAAAAGCCGUAAGGCGUCGAAGGAGGAGCCCGCGCACGAUUAGCUAGUUGGUAGGGUAACGGCCUACCAAGGCUUUGAUCGUUAGCUGGUCUGAGAGGAUGGCCAGCCACGCUGGAACUGAGACACGGUCCAGACUCCUACGGGAGGCAGCAGUGGGGAAUCUUGCACAAUGGGCGAAAGCCUGAUCCAGCCAUGCCGCGUGAGUGAUGAAGGCCCUAGGGUUGUAAAGCUCUUUCAACG
Molecule: ribosomal RNA, 438 nt
Filed under: uncultured bacterium
Lineage: Bacteria
Description: bacterial SSU rRNA
Rfam family: Bacterial small subunit ribosomal RNA
Source: RNAcentral